RNAcentral lists this transfer RNA (72 nucleotides) under Solenostomus cyanopterus (ghost pipefish). RNAcentral's name for it is "tRNA-Leu (CUN)". It matches the Rfam family "tRNA". Rfam says of the family: Transfer RNA (tRNA) molecules are approximately 80 nucleotides in length. Lineage: Eukaryota; Metazoa; Chordata; Actinopteri; Syngnathiformes; Solenostomidae. The record is from RNAcentral.
GCUUGAGAAGGAUAGAAGUGAUCCUUUGGUCUUAGGAACCAAAAACCCUUGGUGCAAAUCCAAGCUAAAGCU